AUGGCGAGGAUACCGACGCUCGUCGCGUUUGCCGUCCGCCGCGCGGCCACCGCCACCACCGCCGCGGGGAAGGCCAUCUGGGACGCCAAGGGGGUUCUCAUCGUGGGGGGCGCCGCGGUCGCCGCCUGGGUCUACCGUGCCGAUCUUGGUCGCCUCGCCGACCAUCUGUUUUCACAGGGCCGCACCCACACUCCAGAGGAUAGGGAUCAGAGGGUGAGGGCAAAGCGAGCGGCCAACAAAGGGGCCCGGAAGGUGGUGCGGGACGCGCACGGACUAUACUCAAAGAACCACGGCCGGGCGGGCGGACACUGA
This 312-nucleotide ribosomal RNA is filed under the name Triticum aestivum (bread wheat). Its description in RNAcentral is "partial small subunit ribosomal RNA". Lineage: Eukaryota; Viridiplantae; Streptophyta; Magnoliopsida; Poales; Poaceae. The record is from RNAcentral.